CGCGGUAUAAUGACCGUGCGAAGGUAGCAUAAUCAUUAGUCUUUUAAUUGAAGGCUGGUAUGAAUGGUUGAACGAGAAAUAAGCUUUCUUUACUAAAAAAAUUGAAUUUAACUUUUGAGUGAAAAGGCUUAAAUAAUCUAGAGGGACGAUAAGACCCUAUAAAGUUUCAUACUUAAAUUAUUACGAAGUAAUUAGAAUAGAAAAGCUUGAUAAUAACUGGGUGUUUUGUUGGGGUGACAAGAAUAUAAAUAAUAUAACUGUUCUUUAAGAAACAAGGUUAUUUGUUAAAGUGAUCUUUAGUUUAAAGUGGUAGAGCAAAUUACUUUAGGGAUAACAGCGUUAUUUUUUUUAAGAGUUCUUAUCAACAAAAAAGUUUGCGACCUCGAUGUUGAAUUAAAGGCUCUUUGGGAUGAAGAAGUUUCAAAAGAAGGUCUGUUCGACCUUUAAAUCUUUACAUGAUUUGAGUUCAGACCGGUGUGAGCCAGGUUGGUUUCUAUCUA
Molecule: ribosomal RNA, 500 nt
Filed under: Spinastacoides insignis
Lineage: Eukaryota; Metazoa; Arthropoda; Malacostraca; Decapoda; Parastacidae
Description: partial 16S ribosomal RNA
Rfam family: Bacterial large subunit ribosomal RNA
Source: RNAcentral